Molecule: ribosomal RNA, 500 nt
Filed under: uncultured bacterium
Lineage: Bacteria
Description: partial 16S ribosomal RNA
Rfam family: Bacterial small subunit ribosomal RNA
Source: RNAcentral
AUUGAACGCUGGCGGCAGGCCUAACACAUGCAAGUCGAGCGGAUGAAGGUAGUUUGCUACCUGAUUCAGCGGCGGACGGGUGAGUAAUGCAUAGGAAUCUGCCUGGUAGUGGGGGACAACGUUUCGAAAGGAACGCUAAUACCGCAUACGUCCUACGGGAGAAAGUGGGGGAUCUUCGGACCUCACGCUAUCAGAUGAGCCUAGGUACGAUUAGCUAGUUGGUGAGGUAAAGGCUCACCAAGGCGACGAUCGUUAACUGGUCUGAGAGGAUGAUCAGUCACACUGGAACUGAGACACGGUCCAGACUCCUACGGGAGGCAGCAGUGGGGAAUAUUGGACAAUGGGCGAAAGCCUGAUCCAGCCAUGCCGCGUGUGUGAAGAAGGUCUUCGGAUUGUAAAGCACUUUAAGUUGGGAGGAAGGGCAGUAAGUUAAUACCUUGCUGUUUUGACGUUACCGACAGAAUAAGCACCGGCUAACUUCGUGCCAGCAGCCGCAGUAA